UAUAGGGAAAACGGUAGUAUUACAUUUUCCCAGCAUUAGGUUGGCCUUUUGUGUACCCAAAGCAGGUGAAGGAAGUCAAAUUAGGAGCGCUGUAAUUGGAUGUAAGGGUACAAUAUAUAUUUUUAAUUAUCUAUGAAUAACUGCAGUGUGUAAAUUUUAAAACCUAUUGAAAUAUUUUCUAGAGAAUUAUUCGAAAAGGCUUCCAAAAUUUCAAAAAUUUGUUGUAAAAUGACGGUGGGCAUGGAUAACAUAAACAAGCUCCGUUGGAAAUUGGUCAUGAUACUAUUUGGC
RNAcentral lists this long non-coding RNA (291 nucleotides) under Mytilus galloprovincialis (Mediterranean mussel). The record is from RNAcentral. Lineage: Eukaryota; Metazoa; Mollusca; Bivalvia; Mytilida; Mytilidae.